CCUAUGGGAGGCAGCAGUGGGGAAUAUUGGACAAUGGGGGAAACCCUGAUCCAGCAAUGCCGCGUGAGUGAUGAAGGCCUUAGGGUCGUAAAGCUCUUUUACCAGGGAUGAUAAUGACAGUACCUGGAGAAUAAGCUCCGGCUAACUCCGUGCCAGCAGCCGCGGUAAUACGGAGGGAGCUAGCGUUGUUCGGAAUUACUGGGCGUAAAGCGUGCGUAGGCGGUUAUUCAAGUCAGAGGUGAAAGCCCGGGGCUCAACCCCGGAACGGCCUUUGAAACUAGAUAACUAGAAUCUUGGAGAGGUCAGUGGAAUUCCGAGUGUAGAGGUGAAAUUCGUAGAUAUUCGGAAGAACACCAGUGGCGAAGGCGACUGACUGGACAAGUAUUGACGCUGAGGUACGAAAGCGUGGGGAGCAAACAGGAUUAGAUACCCUGGUAGUCCACGCCGUAAACGAUGAUAACUAGCUGUCCGGACACUUGGUGUUUGGGUGGCGCAGCUAACGCAUUAAGUUAUCCGCCUGGGGAGUACGGUCGCAAGNUUAAAACUCAAAGAUAUAGCGNGNGAGNGCGACGACGACGACGACGGAGGAGAG
This 592-nucleotide ribosomal RNA is filed under the name uncultured bacterium. RNAcentral describes it as "bacterial SSU rRNA". It matches the Rfam family "Bacterial small subunit ribosomal RNA", at positions 338 to 945 of the family's 1533-position model. The record is from RNAcentral.